GGUGUUUACACUAGACUGAUGAGUUGCGAACGGGUGAGUAACGCGUAGGUAACCUGCCUCAUAGCGGGGGAUAACUAUUGGAAACGAUAGCUAAUACCGCAUAAGAGUGAUUAACACAUGUUAGUUAUUUAAAAGGAGCAAUUGCUUCACUGUGAGAUGGACCUGCGUUGUAUUAGCUAGUUGGUGAGGUAAAGGCUCACCAAGGCGACGAUACAUAGCCGACCUGAGAGGGUGAUCGGCCACACUGGGACUGAGACACGGCCCAGACUCCUACGGGAGGCAGCAGUAGGGAAUCUUCGGCAAUGGACGGAAGUCUGACCGAGCAACGCCGCGUGAGUGAAGAAGGUUUUCGGAUCGUAAAGCUCUGUUGUUAGAGAAGAACGUUGGUAGGAGUGGAAAAUCUACCAAGUGACGGUAACUAACCAGAAAGGGACGGCUAACUACGUGCCAGCAGCCGCGGUAAUACGUAGGUCCCGAGCGUUGUCCGGAUUUAUUGGGCGUAAAGCGAGCGCAGGCGGUUCUUUAAGUCUGAAGUUAAAGGCAGUGGCUUAACCAUUGUACGCUUUGGAAACUGGAGGACUUGAGUGCAGAAGGGGAGAGUGGAAUUCCAUGUGUAGCGGUGAAAUGCGUAGAUAUAUGGAGGAACACCGGUGGCGAAAGCGGCUCUCUGGUCUGUAACUGACGCUGAGGCUCGAAAGCGUGGGGAGCAAACAGGAUUAGAUACCCUGGUAGUCCACGCCGUAAACGAUGAGUGCUAGGUGUUAGGCCCUUUCCGGGGCUUAGUGCCGCAGCUAACGCAUUAAGCACUUCGCCUGGGGAGUACGACCGCAAGGUUG
RNAcentral lists this ribosomal RNA (836 nucleotides) under uncultured Streptococcaceae bacterium. RNAcentral describes it as "bacterial SSU rRNA". It matches the Rfam family "Bacterial small subunit ribosomal RNA", at positions 75 to 896 of the family's 1533-position model. The record is from RNAcentral. Lineage: Bacteria; Bacillati; Bacillota; Bacilli; Lactobacillales; Streptococcaceae.